GCCAAUCCUAAUCUCCGCCUCUCCUUAAGGUAGUAUACUACAUAGCAUAUAUAGGACUCCAUCCUUUCUCACCUCCAUAUGCUCCAUUGUUUUUAUUGCUUUGAUUCCCCUCUACCUCCUACAAGCAUGCCCAGGACCACUCCAGCUUUAAUGUAGAAAUCAUUUUAGCCAAGUGUGGUGGCACACACCUAUAAUCCCAGCAGUUAGAGAGACUGAGGCAGGAGGAUUGCAAGUUCAAAGCUAGCCUCAGCAACUUAGUGAGGCCCUACCUAAGUAAUGCAGAGUGAGACCCUGACUAGGAAAAAACUUUAAAGGACUAGGGAUAUAGAUUAGUGGUAAAGUGACCCUGGCUUCAACCCCCAGUGUUGAAAAAAGAAGAAGUAGAAGGUCUGUGCCUAUAAUCCCAGCUAUUCUGGAGUCUAAGGAAAGGAAGGAAAAGGGGAGAAAGAUAUCUGACUCCUCCAUGGUAAAAUGAAUGGGCCCCUUUGACAAACUUUAGCUUAGUGUACUACACACAGAAAACAGAAUUUUUAGGCUACAAAUAUCCUUUAGGCUUGGUUUAUCUUGGAACCCGUGCAGAUUUCCAUUUUCAAAAUAAAAAUAAUUUGUUUUCAUUUUUACAAAAUGUCUCUGUAAAAAUUUCAUAGAUAUUUGGUCUGUCAAAGGAGAUACUGAGAUUCGACUUCUUGUGCAAGCAACUUAUUAGCUCUCAGAAGAAACCUGUAAGGGUAUGAAGGAAGUAUGAUGGAGAAGUAAAGAAGCUGAGAAAGUCUAGCCUCAACCUGAUGCAUCCAUCUGCUGAGCAAGAAUGGCCAGCAUUAGUUAAGUUUGUCUCCUUUAGAAAACCAAACUGUCACUCAGAUGUAAUAGCCUCCAUUCUAGACUUGGAGAAACUGAGGACAAGAGUACAAGUAAGCCUAUUUGGCCUUUGCACCAAAACUGUUUUAAUCUUCAUUAUUUAUAGUUAAGAAUGUGAUAUUUUUUUAUCUCCAUCUGCUUGCCUCCUUUAUGUAUCUUUCAAUUACUCUUUUGCCAAGAUUGGGCAAGCUGACACCCUCACAAUCCAACAUACAGCCA
RNAcentral lists this long non-coding RNA (1077 nucleotides) under Marmota monax (woodchuck). Lineage: Eukaryota; Metazoa; Chordata; Mammalia; Rodentia; Sciuridae. The record is from RNAcentral.